ACUCCUACGGGAGGCAGCAGUAAGGAAUAUUGGACAAUGGGCGCAAGCCUGAUCCAGCCAUCCCGCGUGCAGGAAGACAGCCCUAUGGGUUUUAAACUGCUUUAGAAGGGAAGAAACGCCUACAUUUAUGUGGGUUUGACGGUACCUUCAGAAUAAGCACCGGCUAACUCCGUGCCAGCAGCCGCGGUAAUACGGAGGGUGCGAGCGUUAAUCGGAAUUACUGGGCGUAAAGCGCAUGCAGGCGGCCUGUUAAGUCAGAUGUGAAAGCCCGGGGCUUAACCUCGGAAUUGCAUUUGAAACUGGCAGGCUAGAGUCUUGUAGAGGGGGUAGAAUUUCAGGUGUAGCGGUGAAAUGCGUAGAGAUCUGAAGGAAUACCAGUGGCGAAGGCGGCCCCCUGGACAAAGACUGACGCUCAGAUGCGAAAGCGUGGGGAGCAAACAGGAUUAGAUACCCUGGUAGGAUAGCG
This 466-nucleotide ribosomal RNA is filed under the name uncultured bacterium. RNAcentral's name for it is "bacterial SSU rRNA". It matches the Rfam family "Bacterial small subunit ribosomal RNA", at positions 335 to 799 of the family's 1533-position model. The record is from RNAcentral.